UAGGGAAUUUUUCACAAUGAGCGAAAGCUUGAUGGAGCAAUGCCGCGUGAACGAUGAAGGUCUUUAAGAUUGUAAAGUUCUUUUAUUUGGGAAGAAUGACUUUAGCAGGUAAUGGCUAGAGUUUGACUGUACCAUUUUGAAUAAGUGACGACUAACUAUGUGCCAGCAGUCGCGGUAAUACAUAGGUCGCAAGCGUUAUCCGGAUUUAUUGGGCGUAAAGCAAGCGCAGGCGGAUUGAAAAGUCUGGUGUUAAAGGCAGCUGCUUAACAGUUGUAUGCAUUGGAAACUAUUAAUCUAGAGUGUGGUAGGGAGUUUUGGAAUUUCAUGUGGAGCGGUGAAAUGCGUAGAUAUAUGAAGGAACACCAGUGGCGAAGGCGAAAACUUAGGCCAUUACUGACGCUUAGGCUUGAAAGUGUGGGGAGCAAAUAGGAUUAGAUACCCUAGUAGUCCCACACCGUAAACGAUAGAUACUAGCUGUCGGGGCGAUCCCCUCGGUAGUGAAGUUAACACAUUAAGUAUCUCGCCUGGGUAGUACAUUCGCAAGAAUG
RNAcentral lists this ribosomal RNA (548 nucleotides) under uncultured bacterium. Its description in RNAcentral is "bacterial SSU rRNA". It matches the Rfam family "Bacterial small subunit ribosomal RNA", at positions 355 to 896 of the family's 1533-position model. The record is from RNAcentral.